RNAcentral lists this small RNA (349 nucleotides) under Pan troglodytes (chimpanzee). RNAcentral's name for it is "processed transcript". The record is from RNAcentral. Lineage: Eukaryota; Metazoa; Chordata; Mammalia; Primates; Hominidae.
AGCUGGACGUGUACCUGUUCCUCUUCUCUGAUGUGCUCCUUGUGACCAAGCCCCAGCGCAAGGCGGACAAAGCCAAGGUCAUCCGCCCCCCUCUCAUGCUGGAGAAGCUCGUGUGCCAACCCCUGCGAGACCCCAACAGCUUCCUGCUGAUCCACCUCACUGAAUUCCAGUGUGUCUCCAGCGCCCUCCUUGUGCACUGUCCCAGUCCUACAGACCGUGCCCAGUGGCUGGAGAAGACCCAGCAGGCCCAGGUAUGGGAAAGCCAGCAACGGGGAGGCAUGGGCAGGGGUCCCCGGAGCUCAGAAAUGGGAGCACAGUGGUGGCUCACACCUGUAAUCUCAGCACUUUG